This 432-nucleotide ribosomal RNA is filed under the name uncultured bacterium. Its description in RNAcentral is "bacterial SSU rRNA". It matches the Rfam family "Bacterial small subunit ribosomal RNA", at positions 354 to 796 of the family's 1533-position model. The record is from RNAcentral.
GUCGAGGAUCUUCGGCAAUGGGCGCAAGCCUGACCGAGCGACGCCGCGUGUGUGAUGAAGGCCUUCGGGUUGUAAAGCACUGUCGGGGGGAAGAAAGGGGCAACCUUGAUCGACCCCCGGAGGAAGCACGGGCUAAGUUCGUGCCAGCAGCCGCGGUAAGACGAACCGUGCGAACGUUGUUCGGAAUCACUGGGCUUAAAGGGCGCGUAGGCGGGGGCACAAGUCCGGGGUGAAAUCCCACGGCUCAACCGUGGAAGUGCCUUGGAUACUGUGUUUCUUGAGGAAGGUAGGGGCGUGCGGAACUUCCGGUGGAGCGGUGAAAUGCGUAGAUAUCGGAAGGAACACCGGUGGCGAAAGCGGCGCGCUGGACCUUUACUGACGCUGAGGCGCGAAAGCCAGGGGAGCAAACGGGAUUAGAAACCCUUGUAGUCC